CAAAGUGUAUUGUAGACAGGUACACGUUGAAAAUCCAACAGGAAGUUUUAUUUAAAUAAUCUUAUUGCCGCUUUUUAGAAGUAUAUACUCUAUUAAGUUUUAAUAUUUAUUUUUUAUUGUGUCGAAAUUUAUUUCAUGUGUACGAGGAUAUGUGACAUCAAAUAUCAAAAAACUGCGAUUUAGAUCAGCCAUGAGUUAUAUGACGAAGAGCAUAAUAGCAUUGAUCCCUGUUCUGACAUUUGCAUUAUUAGUAUUUAGCAUAAUUGCAUUGUUUGUGUACAAGAGUAGAUUUUGCUGCAAAUCUAAAGAUGCAGAAAUUGCGAAUCAACAAAGAACAAAGAUUUCAACAAUUUAUUCGGGUAAUAUCUGUUGCAGUCAUCUUUCUAUUUCUAAAUGAAAUUUGCUUGAAAUUAAAAGAAAAUACUGGUUCUGUGCAAAUCAGACACCCAAUUAGUACUGAAACGCAAAACAAAUAAACACAAUUAUGUUAAAGAUUAUGCACAUUUUAAUGUUGUUUUUAUUUGUCGUACAUGUAUAACACACAUGAAUGGUAUCAUGAUUGAUCAAAUACAAGACUAACCAGAUUUGUUUCUCUCUUCUGGCUGGCGAUGCAAUAUUUCUUUUUAGUAAUUGGAUAGUAUAAAAGGUAUUUGAAAAUAAGUCAUAGAAAGAUUUUUUUGCUUGUUUUA
Molecule: long non-coding RNA, 689 nt
Organism: Mytilus californianus (California mussel)
Lineage: Eukaryota; Metazoa; Mollusca; Bivalvia; Mytilida; Mytilidae
Exons: 3
Source: RefSeq, a predicted model, not a curated record